RNAcentral lists this ribosomal RNA (486 nucleotides) under uncultured bacterium. RNAcentral's name for it is "partial 16S ribosomal RNA". It matches the Rfam family "Bacterial small subunit ribosomal RNA", at positions 30 to 507 of the family's 1533-position model. The record is from RNAcentral.
AUUGAACGCUGGCGGCAUGCCUUACACAUGCAAGUCGAACGGCAGCACGGGUGCUUGCACCUGGUGGCGAGUGGCGAACGGGUGAGUAAUACAUCGGAACAUGUCCUGUAGUGGGGGAUAGCCCGGCGAAAGCCGGAUUAAUACCGCAUACGAUCUACGGAUGAAAGCGGGGGACCUUCGGGCCUCGCGCUAUAGGGUUGGCCGAUGGCUGAUUAGCUAGUUGGUGGGGUAAAGGCCUACCAAGGCGACGAUCAGUAGCUGGUCUGAGAGGACGACCAGCCACACUGGGACUGAGACACGGCACAGACUCCUACGGGAGGCAGCAGUGGGGAAUUUUGGACAAUGGGCGAAAGCCUGAUCCAGCAAUGCCGCGUGUGUGAAGAAGGCCUUCGGGUUGUAAAGCACGUUUGUCCGGAAAGAAAUCCUUGGCCCUAAUACGGUCGGGGGAUGACGGUACCGGAAGAAUAAGCACCGGCUAACUACGUG